UACGUAGGGUGCAAGCGUUAAUCGGAAUUACUGGGCGUAAAGUGUGCGCAGGCGGCCGCGCAAGUCGAGUGUGAAAGCCCCGGGCUUAACUUGGGAAUUGCGCUCGAAACUACGUGGCUGGAGUGUGGCAGAGGAAGGUGGAAUUCCAGGUGUAGCGGUGAAAUGCGUAGAUAUCGGGAGGAACACCAGUGGCGAAGGCGGCUUCCUGGCCUGUUCUUGACGCUGAGGCGCGAAAGCUAGGGUAGCAAACGGG
This 253-nucleotide ribosomal RNA is filed under the name uncultured bacterium. RNAcentral's name for it is "partial 16S ribosomal RNA". It matches the Rfam family "Bacterial small subunit ribosomal RNA", at positions 524 to 776 of the family's 1533-position model. The record is from RNAcentral.